RNAcentral lists this unclassified non-coding RNA (308 nucleotides) under Hevea brasiliensis (rubber tree). The record is from RNAcentral. Lineage: Eukaryota; Viridiplantae; Streptophyta; Magnoliopsida; Malpighiales; Euphorbiaceae.
GACAAGUUCCAUGGCUUUCACAAUUGCCUAGACAAUUACCAGGAACUUCUCGUGCUGCAGGACAACAGACAUCACCUGCUUCUUUAUCAUCACAAGUGCAAGGUCGGCCUUCAGCUCUUAAUUCAACGUGGCCUCCCUCAUUCAUUGGAGGACAGCAACAAGCUUCAUCACCUUCUUUCAUUGGAGGACGAGGAUCAUCACAAAUGCAAGGCCAGCAGUCGGCACCUAACCCAAGGUGGCAACAAGCUUCACCACCAUCUUUUGUAGCUGGACAAGGAUCACAUCAACUGCAAGGCCAGCAGGCAGAU